CCCUUAGAUGUUCUGGGCCGCACGCGCGCUACAAUGAUGCAUUCAAAAAGUCUUCUGACCUUAGAAGGUUUGGUAUUCUCCAAAGUGCAUCGUGAUGGGAAUAGUUUAUUGCAAUUUUUAAUCUUGAACGAGGAAUUCCUAGUAAGUACAGGUCAUCAACUUGUGUUGAUUACGUCCCUGCCCUUUGUACACACCGCCCGUCGCUCCUACUGAUUGAGUGUCUCAAUGAAUUCUUUGAUCUUCUGUCGAUUCAGUUCACUGAUCCGACGGUGGAAAGUUGAAUGAACUUCGUCACUUAGAGGAAGGAGAAGUCGUAACA
Molecule: ribosomal RNA, 319 nt
Filed under: uncultured eukaryote
Lineage: Eukaryota
Description: partial 18S ribosomal RNA
Rfam family: Eukaryotic small subunit ribosomal RNA
Source: RNAcentral